RNAcentral lists this ribosomal RNA (468 nucleotides) under uncultured bacterium. Its description in RNAcentral is "partial 16S ribosomal RNA". It matches the Rfam family "Bacterial small subunit ribosomal RNA", at positions 28 to 507 of the family's 1533-position model. The record is from RNAcentral.
GACGAACGCUGGCGGCGUGCUUAACACAUGCAAGUCGAACGGAAAGGCCCUGCUUUUGUGGGGUGCUCGAGUGGCGAACGGGUGAGUAACACGUGAGUAACCUGCCCUUGACUUUGGGAUAACUUCAGGAAACUGGGGCUAAUACCGGAUAGGAGCUCCUGCUGCAUGGUGGGGGUUGGAAAGUUUCGGCGGUUGGGGAUGGACUCGCGGCUUAUCAGCUUGUUGGUGGGGUAGUGGCUUACCAAGGCUUUGACGGGUAGCCGGCCUGAGAGGGUGAACGGCCACAUUGGGACUGAGAUACGGCCCAGACUCCUACGGGAGGCAGCAGUGGGGAGUAUUGCACAAUGGGCGGAAGCCUGAUGCAGCAACGCCGCGUGCGGGAUGACAGCCUUCGGGUUGUAAACCGCUUUAGCCUGUGACGAAGCGUGAGUGACGGUAAUGGGUAAAGAAGCACCGGCUAACUACGUG